ACCGGAUGUGGACGUGGCGUGCCA
Molecule: microRNA, 24 nt
Filed under: Zea mays
Lineage: Eukaryota; Viridiplantae; Streptophyta; Magnoliopsida; Poales; Poaceae
Description: microRNA miR-3222
Source: RNAcentral